CCCGCUGAACUGAAGCAUAUCAAUAAGCGGAGGAAAAGAAAUCAACAGGGAUUGCCUCAGUAACGGCGAGUGAAGCGGCAAGAGCUCAAAUUUGAAAGCUGGCCCCUUCGGGGUCCGCAUUGUAAUUUGCAGAGGAUGCUUCGGGAGUGGCCCCCAGCUAAGUGCCCUGGAACGGGCCGUCAUAGAGGGUGAGAAUCCCGUCUGGGAUGGGGUGUCCACGCCCGUGUGAAGCUCCUCCGACGAGUCGAGUUGUUUGGGAAUGCAGCUCUAAAUGGGUGGUAAAUUUCAUCUAAAGCUAAAUACUGGCCGGAGACCGAUAGCGCACAAGUAGAGUGAUCGAAAGAUGAAAAGCACUUUGAAAGGAGAGUUAAACAGCACGUGAGAUUGUUGAAAGGGAAGCGCUUGCGACCAGACUCGCCCACGGGGUUCAGCCGGCAUUCGUGCCGGUGUACUUCCCGCGGGCGGGCCAGCCCGGACCGAGGAACGCGUUUCGGCUCGGACGCUGGCAUAAUGGUCGAAAGCGACCCGGAGAAGUGG
Molecule: non-coding RNA, 537 nt
Filed under: Aspergillus nomiae NRRL 13137
Lineage: Eukaryota; Fungi; Ascomycota; Eurotiomycetes; Eurotiales; Aspergillaceae
Description: Aspergillus nomius NRRL 13137 Eukaryotic large subunit ribosomal RNA
Rfam family: Eukaryotic large subunit ribosomal RNA
Source: Rfam by way of RNAcentral